RNAcentral lists this microRNA precursor (61 nucleotides) under Pristionchus pacificus. Its description in RNAcentral is "mir-8364 microRNA precursor family". It matches the Rfam family "mir-8364 microRNA precursor family". Lineage: Eukaryota; Metazoa; Nematoda; Chromadorea; Rhabditida; Neodiplogasteridae. The record is from Rfam by way of RNAcentral.
UCUUCAUUCCGCACACUCUCUCGCCUCUCUGACCGGCGAGAGAGCACGUGAAAUGAAGAGA